Molecule: ribosomal RNA, 492 nt
Filed under: uncultured bacterium
Lineage: Bacteria
Description: partial 16S ribosomal RNA
Rfam family: Bacterial small subunit ribosomal RNA
Source: RNAcentral
AGUGAACGCUGGCGAUAGGCCUAACACAUGCAAGUCGAACGGCAGCACAGUAAGAGCUUGCUCUUACGGGUGGCGAGUGGCGGACGGGUGAGGCAUACAUCGGAAUCUACUUUUUCGUGGGGGAUAACGUAGGGAAACUUACGCUAAUACCGCAUACGACCUACGGGUGAAAGCAGGGGAUCUUCGGACCUUGCGCGAUUGAUUGAGCCGAUGUCGGAUUAGCUAGUUGGCGGGGUAAAGGCCCACCAAGGCGACGAUCCGUAGCUGGUCUGAGAGGAUGAUCAGCCACACUGGAACUGAGACACGGUCCAGACUCCUACGGGAGGCAGCAGUGGGGAAUAUUGGACAAUGGGCGCAAGCCUGAUCCAGCCGUACCGCGUGGGUGAAGAAGGCCUUCGGGUUGUAAAGCCCUUUUGUUGGGAAAGAAAAGCUGCGGGUUAAUACCCGCCUGUUUUGACGGUACCCAAAGAAUAAGCACCGGCUAACUUCGUG